This 484-nucleotide ribosomal RNA is filed under the name uncultured bacterium. Its description in RNAcentral is "partial 16S ribosomal RNA". It matches the Rfam family "Bacterial small subunit ribosomal RNA", at positions 29 to 507 of the family's 1533-position model. The record is from RNAcentral.
AUUGAACGCUGGCGGCAGGCCUAACACAUGCAAGUCGAGCGGAUGAAGGGAGCUUGCUCCUGGAUUCAGCGGCGGACGGGUGAGUAAGGCCAGGGAAUCUGCCGGGAGGGGGGGGAAACGGUCGGGAACGGGGCGCAAAUACCCCUUCCGCCCUGGGGGGGAAGGUGGGGGACCUUCGACCCCACCGCUACCAGAUAGGCCUAGGUCGGAUUAGCUAGUUGGUGGGGUAAAGGCCUACCAAGGCGACGAUCCGUAACUGGUCUGAGAGGAUGAUCAGUCACACUGGAACUGAGACACGGUCCAGACUCCUACGGGAGGCAGCAGUGGGGAAUAUUGGACAAUGGGCGAAAGCCUGAUCCAGCCGUGCCGCGUGUGUGAAGAAGGUCUUCGGAUUGUAAAGCACUUUAAGUUGGGAGGAAGGGCAGUAAGUUAAUACCUUGCUGUUUUGACGUUACCAACAGAAUAAGCACCGGCUAACUUCGUG